This 189-nucleotide small RNA is filed under the name Arabidopsis thaliana (thale cress). RNAcentral describes it as "ATSL019540". The record is from RNAcentral. Lineage: Eukaryota; Viridiplantae; Streptophyta; Magnoliopsida; Brassicales; Brassicaceae.
AAAAAACCGAAUUUCCACCAAACCGAAUAACCCGACCCGAAUAACCCAGUUUAACCGAACUCCCAGGCCUAGUGUUUCCUCUUAUCCAGCAAUUUUGUCUAUGCGUAAAUUGCUCUGUCACUGUCACUGUCACUGUCCGCUGCUUCUGUGUCCCCAAGAUUUUUCUCUUCUUCAACCUUGAAAAACCCU